RNAcentral lists this non-coding RNA (21 nucleotides) under Caenorhabditis elegans. The record is from RNAcentral. Lineage: Eukaryota; Metazoa; Nematoda; Chromadorea; Rhabditida; Rhabditidae.
UUAUUUUUUACGACAGUUUUC